This 451-nucleotide ribosomal RNA is filed under the name uncultured bacterium. RNAcentral's name for it is "bacterial SSU rRNA". It matches the Rfam family "Bacterial small subunit ribosomal RNA", at positions 354 to 796 of the family's 1533-position model. The record is from RNAcentral.
GUGGGGAAUCUUCGUCAAUGGGCGAAAGCCUGAACGAGCGACACCGCGUGAGGGAUGAAGCCCUUCGGGGUGUAAACCUCUUUUCUGGGGGAAGAAUAAGAGCAGGAGUGGAAUGCCUGCUUGAUGACGGUACCCCAGGAAUAAGAGACGGCUAACUCUGUGCCAGCAGCCGCGGUAAGACAGAGGUCUCGAGCGUUAUCCGGAUUCACUGGGCGUGAAGGGCGUCUAGGCGGUCUUGUAAGUCACCUGUGAAAGCUCCUGGCUCAACUGGGAGAGGUCGGGUGAAACUGCAAGACUAGAGCUUCGGAGGGGAGGGUGGAACUUCCAGAGUAACGGUGAAAUGUGCAGAUACUGGAAGGUACCUCGAUAGCGAAGGCAGCCCUCUGGCCGACAGCUGACGCUAAAGCGCGAAAGCGUGGGGAGCAAACCGGAUUAGAAACCCGGGUAGUCC